AUUGAACGCUAGCGGGAUGCUUUACACAUGCAAGUUGAACGGCAGCGCGGACUUCGGUCUGGCGGCGAGUGGCGAACGGGUGAGUAAUGUAUCGGAACGUGCCCAGUAGCGGGGGAUAACUACGCGAAAGCGUAGCUAAUACCGCAUACGCCCUACGGGGGAAAGCAGGGGAUCGUAAGACCUUGCACUAUUGGAGCGGCCGAUAUCGGAUUAGCUAGUUGGUGAGGUAACGGCUCACCAAGGCGACGAUCCGUAGCUGGUUUGAGAGGACGACCAGCCACACUGGGACUGAGACACGGCCCAGACUCCUACGGGAGGCAGCAGUGGGGAAUUUUGGACAAUGGGGGCAACCCUGAUCCAGCCAUCCCGCGUGUGCGAUGAAGGCCUUCGGGUUGUAAAGCACUUUUGGCAGGAAAGAAACGUCGCGGGCUAAUACCCCGUGGAACUGACGGUACCUGCAGAAUAAGCACCGGCUAACUACGUG
Molecule: ribosomal RNA, 484 nt
Filed under: uncultured bacterium
Lineage: Bacteria
Description: partial 16S ribosomal RNA
Rfam family: Bacterial small subunit ribosomal RNA
Source: RNAcentral